This 274-nucleotide long non-coding RNA is filed under the name Elaeis guineensis (African oil palm). Its description in RNAcentral is "long non-coding RNA (EGUI_LNC010863)". The record is from RNAcentral. Lineage: Eukaryota; Viridiplantae; Streptophyta; Magnoliopsida; Arecales; Arecaceae.
GAUCUCUUGGAUGAAAGACCUUCAGCUUGAUUUUUGUAUUGUAAUACUAGGCUAUUCUUUACUGAUAUGCCGCCAUCCGAACUUGAGCUUGCUAUCGGACUUUCGGAAGUAAGUCUAGGUCGGUUCUCUGACAUUCAGAAUUGUUCGAUUCAUUAUACUGUUCCACUCUUGCUGAUGGUAAUCCAAUUUCAAGUGAAAUCAUCGUCUCUAUCUCAUAGGCUAGGUUGAAUGGUGAUUCUCUUAUCGGUAUACGAAGAGUUGUUUAAUACGCCCA